Molecule: long non-coding RNA, 486 nt
Organism: Salmo salar (Atlantic salmon)
Lineage: Eukaryota; Metazoa; Chordata; Actinopteri; Salmoniformes; Salmonidae
Source: RefSeq, a predicted model, not a curated record
AUGGCAGCGCUCAUAAUAGAAACAUGCCAUGUCGCAUGUUGUGCUAAUCGAACCCAAAAUGUUCUUACAUGGGGUCGUGGUGGAAUCAUUGCAAAUAGAACAUGUAAUUACGCCGCUCUCUAUGACCCAAAGGUAAUAUAUAUAUUUCACAAUUUAAAUGUACUCGUGUCACUACAUCAUCAGUCUUGUCAAUGUUGACAGCUGCUUGGAGUCGUUGGGUAUAAGGCAUAUUUGCUGUGAGUCAGCUUUACAGGAGAAAGGUGUUGCUGCUGUCCUGAAUGGACAUACUGGGAGGGUGAACACAGUCCAGUGGGUCCACAGAGAGGACUGUGUACAGAAACUCACCUGGUGUCAGGAGGGUCUGACAGUCUGACUGAUUGUGUGGGAGGCCCUAGAUGGGAAGACCUGUUGUCCCAGACCUGCUGGAACCCUGACCUAUUCACCGGACGUGCUACCUGUCCCAGACCUGCUGUUUUCAACUCUCUA